UUUACUUCUUCUUCAUCUUCUCCUUAUUUUUCUUCAAUUCCUACUUGCCAAACAACUCAAUUUCACUCCAUUAAACUUGAUUUAAAUAAUUAAUCUUAGAGAAUUAAGCUUGAGAAGUGAUUUGUGAUGAUUAUUUUCAAAAAAUUUGAAGAUUCGCUAUUUAGGCCAAAGGUUGGGGAAACCUCUACCAUGGAACAAAGGCAAAGUUAGAGCUUAGAAAGCUUUAAUUUAAGCUUGCUAAAGCUUAUUUUUAAGUUAAGACAGUGUCUUCGACACCGAAUGUGGCAUCCGCAGUCGGGUCUCACAGGACUGAGCGCAGGGUGUUACAAUAAUGAACCAAUCCUUUGGUAAGUAUAUUUCUAGAAAAGCUCCAAUUUUGGUAUGAUUUUGGAGAGAGAAAAGAUAUAGAAUUGAGAUUAGUUAAAAAAAAAAAAAGAUGCAGAUGAACAAUUGGGAUCUUCCAGGAGUUCAACAACCCUAAACCCAUUUAAUAAAAGUACAAGCUUUCUCU
This is a non-coding RNA of Jatropha curcas, 511 nucleotides long. Lineage: Eukaryota; Viridiplantae; Streptophyta; Magnoliopsida; Malpighiales; Euphorbiaceae. The record is from RefSeq and is a predicted model, not a curated record.